RNAcentral lists this ribosomal RNA (440 nucleotides) under uncultured bacterium. Its description in RNAcentral is "bacterial SSU rRNA". It matches the Rfam family "Bacterial small subunit ribosomal RNA", at positions 958 to 1399 of the family's 1533-position model. The record is from RNAcentral.
AACGCGAAGAACCUUACCCAGGCUUGACAUGCAGAUGACAACUUCAGAAAUGAAGCGUCCCUUCGGGGCAUUUGCACAGGUGCUGCAUGGCUGUCGUCAGCUCGUGCCGUGAGGUGUUUGGUUAAGUCCAGCAACGAGCGCAACCCUUAUCAUUAGUUGCCAACACUACGGGUGGGAACUCUAAUGAGACUGCCUGGGUUAACCAGGAGGAAGGUGAGGAUGACGUCAAGUCCGCAUGGCCCUUAUGUCUGGGGCUACACACGUGCUACAAUGGUCGGUACAGAAGGCAGCGAAACCGCAAGGCGGAGCAAAUCCCGAAAGCCGAUCUCAGUUCAGAUUGUAGUCUGCAACUCGACUACAUGAAGACGGAAUUGCUAGUAAUGGUGGGUCAGCAACACCACCGUGAAUACGUUCCCGGGCCUUGUACACACCGACUGUAC